RNAcentral lists this long non-coding RNA (1008 nucleotides) under Callithrix jacchus (white-tufted-ear marmoset). Its description in RNAcentral is "lncRNA (ENSCJAG00000070230.1)". Lineage: Eukaryota; Metazoa; Chordata; Mammalia; Primates; Cebidae. The record is from RNAcentral.
CUUUAAAUCACAUCUAUAAUAUGGUCAGAUAAAUAAUUAAUGGAUACAUUAAAUUAACAAAAUCAUUAUUUUCUCUUUGUAUGCAGAGUUAUGAGCAUCUACUGCCCUACAAUUCUUACAAUGGAUGCUUGGAAAUGAAAAGAAUUGUGGUCUUUACCUUUUAGAAUGUCACUUUGGUUGGAAUGCAGUGGCGCAAUCUUCAGGUUGGAAUGCAGUGGCGCAAUCUUCAUUUACUACAGCUUUGACCUCCUGGGCUCACACAAUCCUCCUGUCUCAGCCUCCUGAGUAGCUUGGACCAUGGGCACGUGCCACAAUGCCCACCUAAAUUUUUUUUGUUUUUAAGAGAAAGGGGCUCAUUAUACUGCCCAGACUGGUUUCAAACUUCUGGGUUCAAGUAAUCUUCCUACCUUGGCCACCCAAAGUGCUGGGAUUACAUGUGUGAGCCACUUCACAUGGCCAUAAAUAUUUCUUAAACAGUCAUACCUUGUUAUCUAUGGGAGGUUGGUUCCAAGACCCCCCAUGGAUAUCAAAAUCCAUGGACACUCAAGACCCUUAUAUAAACUGGAGUAGUAUUUGCAUAUUAACUUAAACACAUAAUCCCAAUAUAUUUUUAAUCAGUUCUCGAUUACUUAUAAAUUAUUGUUUGAAUAAUAAUGAUAAGAAAUAAACAUGUACAUAUUCAGUAUGAUGAAAUUUUUUAAAUACUUUUUCUCUGUAGUUGGUUGAAUCCAUGGAUGUGGAACCCACAGAGGUCCAACUAUACAAUUUAUUUUUAUACAUUUUAGACCUUGGUUGCUAUAGUGACUGGCAUCUUAUACAUCAUUAGGUAUCCAGGAAAGCUUUUGAUUUCCUCAUAUUUGUAUUUUACAGCCUUCAUACAAAAUGUUCUUUUUAAAGUAAUUUUAAGUUGCAUCAUUUUUGCAUUUUUAAGGUAGAUAAUAGCAUGCUCUGGAAUUCUUUUUUUUUUUUUUACAAAUUAUUUCUACUGUUAUGCAUAGAACUGACAAG